GCGGGAGUAGCUCAGUUGGUAGAGCGCAACCUUGCCAAGGUUGAGGGCGCGAGUUCGAGACUCGUCUCCCGCUCCA
RNAcentral lists this transfer RNA (76 nucleotides) under Parasutterella excrementihominis CAG:233. RNAcentral's name for it is "transfer RNA-Gly(GCC)". It matches the Rfam family "tRNA". Rfam says of the family: Transfer RNA (tRNA) molecules are approximately 80 nucleotides in length. The record is from RNAcentral. Lineage: Bacteria; Pseudomonadati; Pseudomonadota; Betaproteobacteria; Burkholderiales; Sutterellaceae.